RNAcentral lists this transfer RNA (76 nucleotides) under Armatimonadetes bacterium CG_4_10_14_0_8_um_filter_66_14. RNAcentral's name for it is "tRNA-Lys". It matches the Rfam family "tRNA". Rfam says of the family: Transfer RNA (tRNA) molecules are approximately 80 nucleotides in length. Lineage: Bacteria; Bacillati; Armatimonadota. The record is from RNAcentral.
GAGCCGUUAGCUCAGUCGGUAGAGCACCGGACUUUUAAUCCGGUUGUCGUUGGUUCGAACCCAACACGGCUCACCA